UACAGAAGGGGCAAGCGUUGUUCGGAAUUACUGGGCGUAAAGGGCGCGUAGGCGGCCCGCUAAGUCGAACGUGAAAUCCCCGGGCUCAACCCGGGAACUGCGUCCGAUACUGGCAGGCUUGAAUCCGGGAGAGGGAUGCGGAAUUCCAGGUGUAGCGGUGAAAUGCGUAGAUAUCUGGAGGAACACCGGUGGCGAAGGCGGCAUCCUGGACCGGUAUUGACGCUGAGGCGCGAAAGCCAGGGGAACAAACGGG
Molecule: ribosomal RNA, 253 nt
Filed under: uncultured bacterium
Lineage: Bacteria
Description: partial 16S ribosomal RNA
Rfam family: Bacterial small subunit ribosomal RNA
Source: RNAcentral